UGACAAGAGCUCACUACUUAUAGAAGUAUGGGCUCAGAAUUUUAUAUAUUUUUAAUAUAUACUUUCUCAAGAAUUUUUUUCCGCGGAGUUUAAAGUAAACUUCGUCCAAUACGCCUAACUUUGCCAAAAUCGUCAAACCGCGUGCUAGAGUCUCGACUCUAACGAGCUGGGGGGCUAACUGUUGGGGUCAAAAACGGUUACGGCGAAGUUAACAUUCAAAACGUCCGAAGAAGAAAAUGAGAACUUUCUUCGACAAAUACUUUUUCGAAAUAGAUUCUUUCUUACGAAAAGCUUUACGGAGGAAACACGAAACAUCGGACAAGAGCUCGAAAAAG
Molecule: long non-coding RNA, 335 nt
Filed under: Brassica napus (rape)
Lineage: Eukaryota; Viridiplantae; Streptophyta; Magnoliopsida; Brassicales; Brassicaceae
Description: long non-coding RNA (BNAP_LNC011062)
Source: RNAcentral